Molecule: non-coding RNA, 73 nt
Organism: Podarcis lilfordi (Lilford's wall lizard)
Lineage: Eukaryota; Metazoa; Chordata; Lepidosauria; Squamata; Lacertidae
Source: the annotation of a GenBank genome assembly
GCCUGGAUAGCUCAGUUGUUAGAGCGUGGUGAUGACGACACCAAGGUUGCAGGUUCGAUCCCUGUAUGGGGCA